This 245-nucleotide ribosomal RNA is filed under the name uncultured bacterium. RNAcentral describes it as "partial 16S ribosomal RNA". It matches the Rfam family "Bacterial small subunit ribosomal RNA", at positions 524 to 767 of the family's 1533-position model. The record is from RNAcentral.
UACAGAGGGUGCAAGCGUUAAUCGGAAUUACUGGGCGUAAAGCGCGCGUAGGUGGUUAUGUAAGUUGGAUGUGAAAGCCCCGGGCUUAACCUGGGAAUGGCAUUCAAAACUGCAGGGCUAGAGUACGGGAGAGGGGGGUAGAAUUCCAGGUGUAGCGGUGAAAUGCGUAGAGAUCUGGAGGAAUACCGGUGGCGAAGGCAGCCCCCUGGCCUGGAUACUGACACUGAGGUGCGAAAGCGAUGGGG